CGUAAGUUUCCUGUCGUUGUUUACUACUUGGAUAUCCACGGUAAUUCUAGAGCUAAUACAUGCGUCCAGACCCAACUUUUGCGAAGGGUUGUGCCUAAUAAAACACUAACCCACCCCGGCUUGCCCGGUUUCGAGGUGAUUGAUGGUAAUCGAACGAAUCGCAUGCUUCGCCGCCAAGAAUCCUUCCAAUUUCCGAACCAACCACCUUCCAACGGAAGGUAAUGGCCCAACCUGGCCUUUAACGGGAACCGAAAAAUAAGGGUUGAAUCCCGAAAAGGAACCCGAAAAACCGCCACCCCCUCCUAAGGAAGGCACCAGGCCCCCAAUUUACCCAUCCCGA
Molecule: ribosomal RNA, 340 nt
Filed under: uncultured marine picoeukaryote
Lineage: Eukaryota
Description: bacterial SSU rRNA
Rfam family: Eukaryotic small subunit ribosomal RNA
Source: RNAcentral